CGUGGGUAACCUGCCCAAGAGACUGGGAUAACACCUGGAAACAGAUGCUAAUACCGGAUAACAACACUAGACGCAUGUCUAGAGUUUAAAAGAUGGUUCUGCUAUCACUCUUGGAUGGACCUGCGGUGCAUUAGCUAGUUGGUAAGGUAACGGCUUACCAAGGCAAUGAUGCAUAGCCGAGUUGAGAGACUGAUCGGCCACAUUGGGACUGAGACACGGUCCAAACUCCUACGGGAGGCAGCAGCC
This 246-nucleotide ribosomal RNA is filed under the name uncultured bacterium. RNAcentral describes it as "partial 16S ribosomal RNA". It matches the Rfam family "Bacterial small subunit ribosomal RNA", at positions 116 to 355 of the family's 1533-position model. The record is from RNAcentral.